CUUGACAUCCAGCGAACUUUCCAGAGAUGGAUUGGUGCCUUCGGGAACGCUGAGACAGGUGCUGCAUGGCUGUCGUCAGCUCGUGUUGUGAAAUGUUGGGUUAAGUCCCGNAACGAGCGCAACCCUUUAUCCUUUGUUGCCAGCGAUUCGGUCGGGAACUCAAAGGAGACUGCCGGUGAUAAACCGGAGGAAGGUGGGGAUGACGUCAAGUCAUCAUGGCCCUUACGAGUGGGGCUACACACGUGCUACAAUGGCGCAUACAAAGAGAAGCGACCUCGCGAGAGCAAGCGGACCUCAUAAAGUGCGUCGUAGUCCGGAUCGGAGUCUGCAACUCGACUCCGUGAAGUCGGAAUCGCUAGUAAUCGUGGAUCAGAAUGCCACGGUGAAUACGUUCCCGGGCCUUGUACACACCGCCCGUCACACCAUGGGAGUGGGUUGCAAAAGAAGUAGGUAGCUUAACCUUCGGGAGGGCGCUUACCACUUUGUGAUUCAUGACUGGGGUGAAGUCGUAACAAGGUAGGCGUAGCGAG
RNAcentral lists this ribosomal RNA (530 nucleotides) under uncultured bacterium. RNAcentral describes it as "bacterial SSU rRNA". It matches the Rfam family "Bacterial small subunit ribosomal RNA", at positions 980 to 1509 of the family's 1533-position model. The record is from RNAcentral.